RNAcentral lists this unclassified non-coding RNA (220 nucleotides) under soil metagenome. Its description in RNAcentral is "partial contains 5.8S ribosomal RNA, internal transcribed spacer 2, and large subunit ribosomal RNA". The record is from RNAcentral.
AACAAGGCGUACCUGCGGACCUGCGGAGGGAUCAUUACCAGAGUGCCUUCAGGCUCUCCAACCCACUGUGAACAUACCUACGUUCCCCCGGCGGGCUCAGCGCGCGGCGGCUCCGGCCGCCCGCGUCCGCCGAGGGCAUCUCAAACCCGAAUUUAUUCGUGUCUUCUGAGGGGCGAAAGCCCGUAAAACAAAAUGAAUCAAAACUUUUAGCAAUGGAUCU